Papaver somniferum (opium poppy) is the source of this 2223-nucleotide long non-coding RNA. RefSeq lists it as uncharacterized. The transcript has 8 exons. The record is from RefSeq and is a predicted model, not a curated record. NCBI's taxonomy places the organism in Eukaryota, Viridiplantae, Streptophyta, Magnoliopsida, Ranunculales, Papaveraceae.
UCUUUCAACUUUAUGUGGUGUGGGUUGUUCUCUGAAAAUAACGCGUCCCAUCUAACGCCAUGAAAGAACCCCUCUUCACUAUAAUCAGUAGAGUUCCCAUCUCAGAGUAAACCCAGUCCUUCCAACUUCUAGAAAAGAUUCGACCUUCUAUGUCCUUCAAUCCUGUUCACUCUCUUUGGUAAUGCCUCCCUAUCUAACGCCUCAAUAUAUCCCCUCUUUACUGUAAUCAGUAAAGAUUACAUCUGAGAUUCGAUCCAAUUCUUCCAACUUCUAUAAAAGAUCCAAUCUUCUAUGUCCAUUAAUUCCAGUAUUUCAAUCACAUCUCAGAGUCGGCCGAACUUCCCUUUCAACCAAUUUCACGAUCUCUGAAAUCAGUUACGGUUCUAGGUGUGCCCUAAUAAUUAGAUUUCCCUUGGGAUUGAUUUAUUAUUGAAAUUACACCAAAAGUAACGCACGUCAUGGAUUUAAUUGCCUGCUGCAUCUAUAAAUUGUCUCCGAAAAUCACAGGGAAGCAUCAGUCUCACCGGUUCACCAUCUUCCCAGACAAAGAGAGAAAUAGCAUCACAGGUUACCUGCAAUAUUCAGAAGGUUGGACCCUCAGCCACACAGGACACACUCAAGAGCUUACGAUCGCUUGACGAAGGAAAAACAAACAUCGUUGCCGUCCGUGUUACCCUGAAAUGGGAAGAGUUGGACUUCAUGUCAACCAACGACGUUUCCGGCGUUGAUAUGGUUAUUGUUGACGAGCAGGGGGAAGAGUUACACGCCGUCAUACCCAAAAAUCUUAUUUGGAAGUUUGAUAAGCUGAUUCGGGAGGGGGGGUUGUACUUGAUGCAGAAACUACACUUGACACUGCUAAAACGAAGUUCCGUCCUGCGCACAAUGAGAAGCGGGCCUUCUUCCGGACCACCACCUCCAUCACUUCUUUGGAUGCCUAUUCCGUGUACAUUAUUCCCCAGAAAUUCUCAUUCACUGAGUUUGAGGACAUAGAAUCAAACCUCCAAAACAUACAUCUUACAGAUGUGGUGGGUUUCUUAAAAACAGUCACCAACAUCCAGGUGCUUCAAAGGUCUGAUGGCCAAUCAAGCCGAAUGCGCGAGAUCACAAUUGAAAAUCUCAGGUCGAAUCACCCUAUCUUCAACCAAUGCCACCAAAGUCUACGCGGAUGCAGACAUACCCGAAGUCGUUGAAAUGCGAGAAAGGUUAUCAAAUACCUACUUAAUAUCGUCUUUGUUUUGUACUGAUCCUACUCCGUUAUCACUGAUUAUGUUUGGGCUAAUCAGGGACCCCUAUGCUAGACCACCCCGCCAUAUCACAAUACCGACUAAGAAAGGAAAAUUACCUAUACAUUUCAAUCCUGACAACAGGAAAAAAAUAUCGCAGCUGCUCACUACCACAUGGGAUCCUUCUUGCCAGGACGCUAAAGUCCUCAUAUGUAACGCCACUGCCACCAAUGUGCUGAUUGAAAAUGGUUGGCACUAUCUUGCCUGCCAUCCAUGUAGCAAGAAGGUUAUGGGUGAUGAUGGAGACCUUUGGUUCACUAAAUGUGAAGCCAAAGUUGAAAUGCCCAUUGCAAGGUUCAUGGUCCGCUUUGAGGUAGAGGACCACAGUCUUUGUAGCUCUGGAUAGUGAAGUCCAAAAAAUGGUCCGUUCUACCGCAGCUGAGCUCAUAGGAGCGUCAGAGGAUAAUGCUAAAAUCUGCGGUAAUAUCUGUAUUCUCGCAGAUACUCCAGCGAGCUGUUGAUUUCCAAAUUACUAUCAAUUCCUUCAACAUGAAACAGAAAGCACCAUCUAGCUUCACUGUCACCCGAAUUAACCUCACCCACCAGCCUGGCCAAGGUGUUUUUGCGACUGUGAAAGUUGAAGGGGUUUCAAAUACUGUUGAUGGACCGCACGCAAAGAAACCUCGCCUAAACGAAACAACUGGAAUGGAGGAUAAUAAGGAUGAAGCUGCUGAAUGAAUUGGGCCUUGCUACCGGAGUAUAAUUGAAUAAAACAUUACAUGAACCUUUACUCAGUAUUGUUAUUUGUUUUUUGUUUUCUUUGUUUAAACUCCAUGUUUCGCAUGUUACUUACAAUCUUGAUAAUAGUUAUGCUCUAUUAUCCGGUUCCCCAUUUCAACGCUAGGUCUUUUGUUAAAAAAGUUUCAGAACCUUAACUGUCUGCACUGCAAGACGGUACUUUAUAUGAUUGCUUAUCCUAAUCUCUUGCCCUGCGAUAUAA